RNAcentral lists this ribosomal RNA (2868 nucleotides) under Salmonella enterica subsp. enterica serovar Enteritidis. RNAcentral's name for it is "partial 23S ribosomal RNA". It matches the Rfam family "Bacterial large subunit ribosomal RNA". The record is from RNAcentral. Lineage: Bacteria; Pseudomonadati; Pseudomonadota; Gammaproteobacteria; Enterobacterales; Enterobacteriaceae.
UGAAGGGCGUGCUAAUCUGCGAUAAGCGCCGGUAAGGUGAUAUGAACCGUUAUAACCGGCGAUACCCGAAUGGGGAAACCCAGUGUGACUCGUCACACUAUCAUUAACUGAAUCCAUAGGUUAAUGAGGCGAACCGGGGGAACUGAAACAUCUAAGUACCCCGAGGAAAAGAAAUCAACCGAGAUUCCCCCAGUAGCGGCGAGCGAACGGGGAGGAGCCCAGAGCCUGAAUCAGCAUGUGUGUUAGUGGAAGCGUCUGGAAAGGCGCGCGAUACAGGGUGACAGCCCCGUACACAAAAGCGCAUGUGCUGUGAGCUCGAUGAGUAGGGCGGGACACGUGGUAUCCUGUCUGAAUAUGGGGGGACCAUCCUCCAAGGCUAAAUACUCCUGACUGACCGAUAGUGAACCAGUACCGUGAGGGAAAGGCGAAAAGAACCCCGGCGAGGGGAGUGAAAAAGAACCUGAAACCGUGUACGUACAAGCAGUGGGAGCCCCACCACCAAAGCAUUUGCUGUACCGCGUUGACGGAGCGAAGCGACGUCAAACCGAUAAAACAGCAGUGUAAAGUGAGCCGCAGGGCGCUUUGCGCGACAGCGCAAAGGCAGGCGGUUUCGCGUAGCGAAAGCGAAUGCUUUGGGGUGGGGUGACUGCGUACCUUUUGUAUAAUGGGUCAGCGACUUAUAUUCUGUAGCAAGGUUAACCGAAUAGGGGAGCCGGAGGGAAACCGAGUCUUAAUUGGGCGUUAAGUUGCAGGGUAUAGACCCGAAACCCGGUGAUCUAGCCAUGGGCAGGUUGAAGGUUGGGUAACACUAACUGGAGGACCGAACCGACUAAUGUUGAAAAAUUAGCGGAUGACCUGUGGCUGGGGGUGAAAGGCCAAUCAAACCGGGAGAUAGCUGGUUCUCCCCGAAAGCUAUUUAGGUAGCGCCUCGUGAAUUCAUCUCCGGGGGUAGAGCACUGUUUCGGCUAGGGGGCCAUCCCGGCUUACCAACCCGAUGCAAACUGCGAAUACCGGAGAAUGUUAUCACGGGAGACACACGGCGGGUGCUAACGUCCGUCGUGAAGAGGGAAACAACCCAGACCGCCAGCUAAGGUCCCAAAGUCAUGGUUAAGUGGGAAACGAUGUGGGAAGGCCCAGACAGCCAGGAUGUUGGCUUAGAAGCAGCCAUCAUUUAAAGAAAGCGUAAUAGCUCACUGGUCGAGUCGGCCUGCGCGGAAGAUGUAACGGGGCUAAACCAUGCACCGAAGCUGCGGCAGCGACACUGUGUGUUGUUGGGUAGGGGAGCGUUCUGUAAGCCUGCGAAGGUGGCCUGUGAGGGUUGCUGGAGGUAUCAGAAGUGCGAAUGCUGACAUAAGUAACGAUAAAGCGGGUGAAAAGCCCGCUCGCCGGAAGACCAAGGGUUCCUGUCCAACGUUAAUCGGGGCAGGGUGAGUCGACCCCUAAGGCGAGGCCGAAAGGCGUAGUCGAUGGGAAACGGGUUAAUAUUCCCGUACUUGGUGUUACUGCGAAGGGGGGACGGAGAAGGCUAUGUUGGCCGGGCGACGGUUGUCCCGGUUUAAGCGUGUAGGUGUGUGUUCCAGGUAAAUCCGGUUCACUUUAACACUGAGGCGUGACGACGAGGCACUACGGUGCUGAAGCAACAAAUGCCCUGCUUCCAGGAAAAGCCUCUAAGCAUCAGGUAACAUCAAAUCGUACCCCAAACCGACACAGGUGGUCAGGUAGAGAAUACCAAGGCGCUUGAGAGAACUCGGGUGAAGGAACUAGGCAAAAUGGUGCCGUAACUUCGGGAGAAGGCACGCUGACACGUAGGUGAAGUGAUUUACUCAUGGAGCUGAAGUCAGUCGAAGAUACCAGCUGGCUGCAACUGUUUAUUAAAAACACAGCACUGUGCAAACACGAAAGUGGACGUAUACGGUGUGACGCCUGCCCGGUGCCGGAAGGUUAAUUGAUGGGGUCAGCGCAAGCGAAGCUCCUGAUCGAAGCCCCGGUAAACGGCGGCCGUAACUAUAACGGUCCUAAGGUAGCGAAAUUCCUUGUCGGGUAAGUUCCGACCUGCACGAAUGGCGUAAUGAUGGCCAGGCUGUCUCCACCCGAGACUCAGUGAAAUUGAACUCGCUGUGAAGAUGCAGUGUACCCGCGGCAAGACGGAAAGACCCCGUGAACCUUUACUAUAGCUUGACACUGAACAUUGAGCCUUGAUGUGUAGGAUAGGUGGGAGGCUUUGAAGUGUGGACGCCAGUCUGCAUGGAGCCGACCUUGAAAUACCACCCUUUAAUGUUUGAUGUUCUAACGUGGACCCGUUACCCGGGUUGCGGACAGUGUCUGGUGGGUAGUUUGACUGGGGCGGUCUCCUCCUAAAGAGUAACGGAGGAGCACGAAGGUUGGCUAAUCCUGGUCGGACAUCAGGAGGUUAGUGCAAUGGCAUAAGCCAGCUUGACUGCGAGCGUGACGGCGCGAGCAGGUGCGAAAGCAGGUCAUAGUGAUCCGGUGGUUCUGAAUGGAAGGGCCAUCGCUCAACGGAUAAAAGGUACUCCGGGGAUAACAGGCUGAUACCGCCCAAGAGUUCAUAUCGACGGCGGUGUUUGGCACCUCGAUGUCGGCUCAUCACAUCCUGGGGCUGAAGUAGGUCCCAAGGGUAUGGCUGUUCGCCAUUUAAAGUGGUACGCGAGCUGGGUUUAGAACGUCGUGAGACAGUUCGGUCCCUAUCUGCCGUGGGCGCUGGAGAACUGAGGGGGGCUGCUCCUAGUACGAGAGGACCGGAGUGGACGCAUCACUGGUGUUCGGGUUGUCAUGCCAAUGGCACUGCCCGGUAGCUAAAUGCGGAAGAGAUAAGUGCUGAAAGCAUCUAAGCACGAAACUUGCCCCGAG